This 495-nucleotide ribosomal RNA is filed under the name uncultured bacterium. Its description in RNAcentral is "partial 16S ribosomal RNA". It matches the Rfam family "Bacterial small subunit ribosomal RNA", at positions 28 to 507 of the family's 1533-position model. The record is from RNAcentral.
GACGAACGCUGGCGGCGUGCCUAAUACAUGCAAGUAGAACGCUGAAGGAGGAGCUUGCUUCUCUGGAUGAGUUGCGAACGGGUGAGUAACGCGUAGGUAACCUGCCUGGUAGCGGGGGAUAACUAUUGGAAACGAUAGCUAAUACCGCAUAAGAGUAGAUGUUGCAUGACAUUUGCUUAAAAGGUGCAAUUGCAUCACUACCAGAUGGACCUGCGUUGUAUUAGCUAGUUGGUGAGGUAACGGCUCACCAAGGCAACGAUACAUAGCCGACCUGAGAGGGUGAUCGGCCACACUGGGACUGAGACACGGCCCAGACUCCUACGGGAGGCAGCAGGAGGGAAUCUUCGGCAAUGGACGGAAGUCUGACCGAGCAACGCCGCGUGAGUGAAGAAGGUUUUCGGAUCGUAAAGCUCUGUUGUAAGAGAAGAACGAGUGUGAGAGUGGAAAGUUCACACUGUGACGGUAUCUUACCAGAAAGGGACGGCUAACUACGUG